GGGCCUGUAGCUCGGAGGAUUAGAGCACGUGGCUACGAACCACUGUGUUGUGGGUUCAAAUAUCCCUCCUCGCCCA
RNAcentral lists this transfer RNA (76 nucleotides) under Helianthus annuus (common sunflower). Its description in RNAcentral is "sRNA HanXRQr2_Chr11g0481981". It matches the Rfam family "tRNA". Rfam says of the family: Transfer RNA (tRNA) molecules are approximately 80 nucleotides in length. Their secondary structure includes four short double-helical elements and three loops (D, anti-codon, and T loops). Lineage: Eukaryota; Viridiplantae; Streptophyta; Magnoliopsida; Asterales; Asteraceae. The record is from Rfam by way of RNAcentral.